UCUAACCGAACGUCGCCGGCUGGAAAUCGUCGUCGCCGGUAGCCCAUCUCCAAACCAACCCAAAAAUACACCCGGUAUUCUUCUCCUUCCUCUCAUUCCAAAUCCAAGGUUAAUUUCCUUUGAAUCUUACUAGAAUCCGUCGAAUCUUGAAUCUAAACUUUUCGGCCAAAACUCAACUUCAUCCAAAUAUCUCCAAAAUCACACCAUAGACUCGCCUUACCACCCUCUUCCCAAACCCUCAAUUAGUUUUCCUCAAAUCUUCCUGGGAUGUCUCGAAUAUUAAGUCAAAGUUUGGCCGGCAAACCCUAGUUUCUUUAAACUCAACCAGUAAUACAUAGUCUCCCCACUCUUCUCGUGAGGGAUCCACCAUAGGCGAGGCUCAAAUAUCACCAAGACGGUUCAAUCAAGAAGUCACAGAAUUUGGAUCUGUGUCAGUUGAGUUUGGCUUUUCCUUUUUCUGCUUAAUUCUCUUCUAUUUUCAUAUUUGUUAAUCCUUAGUCGAAUGUGCAUUUUAAUUCCUGUUAAUUUUGUCAUUAAUUAAGAACUAGUUCUGUUCAUCAUUUAGUUUAGUUUGAAUUUACUAAUUGUCUCACUUUGAUUUAGUUGUCAAGAGUAGUUCAUUAAUAGGAUUAAUUAUUCUUUAACUGUUUAAGAUAUUCAAUCUGAUUGCAUAUUGAAUUUAUGAUGGUCAAUUGAUUAGUUGUUUUGAUUAUUGAUGGUAAUUGGUAACUUAAAUUUCAGUAGUUAGUUUGGGGUUGGGAUUUGAAUUUGAACCUGGUUUUAAUUGGCUGAAUGUUUGCUUAACUAUGGUUAGUCAAUAAGGUUAGGGUGAGUUAGUAAUUUCAGGCUAAUGAGAAGGGUAAUUUAGGGAGAUUCAUUUGGGGACUGAAUUUAGAAACUACUAGAAGCUCCUAGAAGGGGUGUUAGUUAAAAGCUCAGAUUUUAAGAGUGUUAACUUGAGAAGCAAGAUAAGAACUAAAGGACUAAACUGAAAAUAAAGAAGGACCAAAAGGAAAAUAAAAAUCCGAUGCACAUCCUCAUCUUUGCCUAUAGAAUGGCACUCACAUGCCUUUGAAUAACAAGUUUUAGAGUCUUAAAAUUCCCCCCAAAAACAGUGUUCUCCAAUUUUUUAUAUCUGAAAACUGAAAUUCAAAAACAAAAACAAUAGAAAACCUUCAAAAUCCAAAAAAAAGUAUUGUUUCAUCAAAAAUUUUAGGCUAGUUUCGACUUUUAGUUAGUGAUUCUCAUCUUCUAGUCCAAUACUUGUUUGCUGAAGUUUCCUCCAAAGUAUACUGCUUUCUCAUCUUCUAGUCCAAUACUUAUUUGCUUAAGUUUCCUCUGAAGUAUACUGCUUGAUUUCGAGUAUUUUUGGUCUACUUAAACUGGUUUUGGUGAAGUUGGGUUGCUAAAGGUUUUAAGGGGUGAUGGGUUCACCUUUGGGUCGAUUUAGUGUUGUUUUUGUAGAUUUGUUGUUUGUGUUUGGAUUUCUAAAACCUUUCUGACAUGUUGAAAGUUUCCGGACUGCAUUUGAUCUCUACAUUUGUGGCUGCUGAUUCCUUCUUCUUCUUCUUCUUAUAUUUCUAAUAUUUAGGUACACUUUCUCGAGUCUGAUUUGAUGUAAUUUUGAAAUGGAAAUACGAUGAAUUGCUCAUUCAUUCGUUCCUGGAAUCCACAUCUGUUUGGAUCAUGAUGCAAUAGUAGUUAAUUAGAUGUUAGAUAAGUGUAUUUUAAUUCUGAUUUGUAUGAACUUAAUCGGACUAUUUUGGACUGUCAAUUUGUGGUUAUCAGCUGUAAUCUUAGAAUUGGCUUAGUGCUAGCUUCAGUUUAGCGUUUGUUUAAAAAUAGAAAAUUAGAAUUGAUCUGGUCUUAUAAUUGAUUUGAGUUCAGUAUGUGAUAUUCGUUUCAAUUUUGAUUUUAAGCUGAAUGUGCAUCUCAAAUAACUUUGUAUUGUAUUAGCUAAUACUGGUAGGUUAUCAGUAGUUUAUUUUAGUUGUUAUGCAAUCAGAUACGAAUAAGGUAUGAAUUCAAGUUAUUAGCUUGUUCAUGUUAGUAUUAAUAAAAUAAUCAAGUUACUUAGUCUAUUCAUUUGAAGAUUAUGUUCACAGACUAUUAUUGACUAAUUCAAUUCACAUUUUUAUUUUGCUUUUCACUUUUAGUAGUAUUUAACGAGUAGCUAAAUAAAUAACGUAACCUAAGCUUUAAACUGGCGUUCAAGCCAUCACUGUCUCGCCGAUCUGAGUAAAAUAGCUUGAGGUAACUUCAAUAGACAUUUGGUUUGAUUAAAUUGAGGCUACGUUUACCAAUCAGCCUCAUUGUAGGCCACUUGGGCCUGAGUGCAUUAAACAGGCGGCCCAGGUAUUUAUUUGGACAUGGGCCCAGGCCUGUGACUGGUUUGCCUUUGUGCAUACUUGGGAUUUUUGGUUUUAAAACGGACUGUGUCCAAGGCCCCAAAUGGUUGAAGAUUGGGAUUUGUAUGAACCCAUAGGCCCCAUUAUUAUAGUUCUCAAAUAAUAUUAAUUAACUAGGACUCUUUCUUUUAUUUUAGAGAUAAUAAAAAUAGAAAAAUCAUAGUUGCUUUAAGGUUUGCCUUUUAAAUAAUAAAAGAGAUGAGCCUCGCCAAACAAAAUGUAUAGAUUGCGGGGCCCUCAAUAAAUGUUUGUGAUAAAAUUUUUAGAAUUCGGGAUUGACCGUUUAGCCAAUUUCACAGCCUUCCCAAAAGAUAAUAACGCAUUAGUCUCUUUAGGUAUAUAUUUUAAUAAGUACUUUCUUAAACUCGGGUGCGCAUUUAUGUGACCCAAAUUUAAAUCUCAACGAAGUCGAAAUGUGUCAAAUAUCUCGGGUGUAUUUAUAUCACGUGGUUCGAGACGUGUUUCCGCGACGUUGCAAUUCUCAUUUAAGAUAAAUAAUAAAAGCAAUUUAAAAAGUAAAAAGCACACAAGCUAAAACAUGUUUUGAAAUCAAUUAAAUCCAAAUAUAGCAGUUGAGCGACCGUGCUAGAACCACGAAAUUUGGUAAUGCCUAACACCUUCUCCCGAGUUAACAGAAUUCCUUACUCAGAUUUCUGGUUCACGGACUAUCAACAGAGUCAUAUUUUCCUCGGUUUGGGAUUCAACCAGUGACUUGGGACACCAUUAAUCUCCCAAGUGGUGACUCUGAAUUUUAAUAACAAAUCUCGUUCUAAUUUUCCUUUAAUUGAAAAAACUCCUUUAUGCCCUUGGGGGUGCAGUGAAAAAAGGAGGUGUGACAAAUGUAAUAAGGCCAAUAGCCAUUGGUAACUUUUCUUUCUUUCUUAUUUAGUGUCGUUUUGAUAUUUUUCUACUUUUCUCAAUAAAAUGAGGCAUUUAGCAUUCU
Molecule: long non-coding RNA, 3351 nt
Filed under: Nicotiana benthamiana
Lineage: Eukaryota; Viridiplantae; Streptophyta; Magnoliopsida; Solanales; Solanaceae
Description: long non-coding RNA (NBEN_LNC037796)
Source: RNAcentral